CCUACGGGUGGCUGCAGUCGAGAAUCAUGCACAAUGGGGGCAACCCUGAUGGUGCGACGCCGCGUGGGGGAAGGAAGGUCUUCGGAUUGUAAACCCCUGUCAUGUGGGAGCAAAUUAAAAAGAUAGUACCACAAGAGGAAGAGACGACUAACUCUGUGCCAGCAGCCGCGGUAAUACAGAGGUCGCAAGCGUUGUUCGGAAUCACUGGGCGGAAAGCGUGCGUAGGGUGUUUGGUAAGUCGUGUGUGAAAGGCGCGGGCACAACCCCCGAACGGCACAGGAUCUUGCGAGACUAGAGUAAGGGAGGGGGAACCGGAAUUCGCGGUGUAGCAGUGAAAUGCGUAGAUAUGGAGAGGAACACUCGUGGCGAAGGCGGGUUCCUGGACAGUAACUGACGCUGAGGCACGAAGGCCAGGGGAGCGAAAGGGAUUAGAUACCCGUGUAGUC
RNAcentral lists this ribosomal RNA (446 nucleotides) under uncultured bacterium. RNAcentral's name for it is "partial 16S ribosomal RNA". It matches the Rfam family "Bacterial small subunit ribosomal RNA", at positions 338 to 795 of the family's 1533-position model. The record is from RNAcentral.